UGCGGUUAUACAAAAAUUAAAUUAAAUUUUUUUAGGAUUUAAUAAGUAAAUAUUAAUUUAAUAAUUUAAAUUUUAAAUUAUAAGGUGAAAUUUUAAUUUAAUUAAAAUUUAUUUAUUUUUAUUACAUUAAUAAAUUUUAUAAAAAACUAGGAUUAGAUACCCUACUAUAAAAAUUUAAAUUUAAUAAUCUUAAAAUAGUAUAUAUUUUUUAUAGAAACUUAAAUAAUUUGGCGGUAUUUUAGUUCAUUUAGAGGAAUCUGUCUAAUAAUUGAUAAUCCACGAUUAAAUUUACUUAAUUUUUAAUUUUGUAUAUCGUUGUUAAAAAAAUAUUUUUAAAUAAUUAUAAUAUUUUAAAAUUUAAAUAAAAAAUUAAAUCAGAUCAAGAUGCAGAUUAUAAUUAAGAAUAUGAUGGAUUACAAUAAAUUUUAUUUUUGGAUAUUAAUUUGAAAAAAUUAAUUGAAAUUGGAUUUAAAUGUAAUUUUAUUAAUUUUGUUAAAAUGAUUUAAAAUUAAAAUAUGUACAUAUUGCCCGUCGCUUUCAUUUAUAAAUUGAAAUAAGUCGUAACAAAGUAGAGGUACUGGAAAGUGUUUCUAGAAAGAU
RNAcentral lists this ribosomal RNA (600 nucleotides) under Zygaena armena armena. Its description in RNAcentral is "partial 12S ribosomal RNA". RNAcentral also lists the same sequence under 1 other name. Lineage: Eukaryota; Metazoa; Arthropoda; Insecta; Lepidoptera; Zygaenidae. The record is from RNAcentral.